RNAcentral lists this ribosomal RNA (497 nucleotides) under uncultured bacterium. Its description in RNAcentral is "partial 16S ribosomal RNA". It matches the Rfam family "Bacterial small subunit ribosomal RNA", at positions 28 to 507 of the family's 1533-position model. The record is from RNAcentral.
GAUGAACGCUGGCGGCGUGCCUAAUACAUGCAAGUCGAGCGAACGGACGAGAAGCUUGCUUCUCUGAUGUUAGCGGCGGACGGGUGAGUAACACGUGGAUAACCUACCUAUAAGACUGGGAUAACUUCGGGAAACCGGAGCUAAUACCGGAUGAUAUUUUGAACCGCAUGGUUCAAAAGUGAAAGACGGUCUUGCUGUCACUUAUAGAUGGAUCCGCGCUGCAUUAGCUAGUUGGUAAGGUAACGGCUUACCAAGGCAACGAUGCAUAGCCGACCUGAGAGGGUGAUCGGCCACACUGGAAGUGAGACACGGUCCAGACUCCUACGGGAGGCAGCAGUAGGGAAUCUUCCGCAAUGGGCGAAAGCCUGACGGAGCAACGCCGCGUGAGUGAUGAAGGUCUUCGGAUCGUAAAACUCUGUUAUUAGGGAAGAACAUAUGUGUAAGUAACUGUGCACAUCUUGACGGUACCUAAUCAGAAAGCCACGGCUAACUACGUG